GACGAACGCUGGCGGUGUGCUUAACACAUGCAAGUCGAACGGAAAGGCCCUGCUUUUGUGGUGUUCUCGAGUGGCGAACGGGUGAGUAACACGUGAGUAACCUGCUCUUCUUUUUGGGAUAACUUCAGGAAACUGGGGCUAAUACCGUAUAGGAUCCCCUGUUGCAUGGUGGGGGGUGGAAAUUUUCGGCGGUUGGGGUUGGACUGGCGGCUUAUCAGCUUGUUGGUCGGGUAGUGGCUGACCAAGGCUGUGAAGGAUAGCCGGCCCGGGAGGGGGACCGGCGACAAGACGACUACGAGAGGCCGCAGACUCGUACGGGAGGCAACGGUCGGAAGUAUGACACAGCGAGCCGGAGCCUGAUGCGAAAGCGCCGGGUGCGGGAUGACGGCCUUUGGGUUGAGAACCGCUUUCGCCUGAGACGAAGCGUGAGUGACGGUAAUGAGUAAAGAAGCACCGGCUAACUACGUG
Molecule: ribosomal RNA, 468 nt
Filed under: uncultured bacterium
Lineage: Bacteria
Description: partial 16S ribosomal RNA
Rfam family: Bacterial small subunit ribosomal RNA
Source: RNAcentral